UCUCUGGUGGUCCAAUGGCUAGGACUCUGCACUCCCAAUGCAGGGGGCCUGGGUUCGAUCCCUGGUCAGGGAA
Non-coding RNA from Bos taurus (domestic cattle), 73 nucleotides. The record is from Rfam. NCBI's taxonomy places the organism in Eukaryota, Metazoa, Chordata, Mammalia, Artiodactyla, Bovidae.